RNAcentral lists this ribosomal RNA (118 nucleotides) under Pteropus alecto (black flying fox). The record is from RNAcentral. Lineage: Eukaryota; Metazoa; Chordata; Mammalia; Chiroptera; Pteropodidae.
GUCUAUGGCCACGCCACCCUUAACAUGCCUGAUCUCAUCUGACCUCGGAAGCUAAGCAGGGUCGGGCCUGGUUAGUACUUGGAUGGGAGACCACCUAGGAAGACAGGUGCUAUAGGUG